GAAGAGGUAAAUCGGUCUCGAAAACCGGAGUGGGGGUAACUCCACCGUGGGUUCAAAUCCCACCCUCUCCGCCA
Molecule: transfer RNA, 74 nt
Filed under: Pyrinomonadaceae bacterium
Lineage: Bacteria; Pseudomonadati; Acidobacteriota; Blastocatellia; Blastocatellales; Pyrinomonadaceae
Description: tRNA-OTHER
Rfam family: tRNA
About the family: Transfer RNA (tRNA) molecules are approximately 80 nucleotides in length. Their secondary structure includes four short double-helical elements and three loops (D, anti-codon, and T loops). Further hydrogen bonds mediate the characteristic L-shaped molecular structure. tRNAs have two regions of fundamental functional importance: the anti-codon, which is responsible for specific mRNA codon recognition, and the 3' end, to which the tRNAs corresponding amino acid is attached (by aminoacyl-tRNA synthetases). tRNAs cope with the degeneracy of the genetic code in two manners: having more than one tRNA (with a specific anti-codon) for a particular amino acid; and 'wobble' base-pairing, i.e. permitting non-standard base-pairing at the 3rd anti-codon position.
Source: RNAcentral